UACAUUUUUUUCUCCCCCCUCCACGUGAGGCUUCUCGUAAGCAGACUGAGUUCCGCUCCCCGUCGACGUCAAAGCUCAGGGGACAGCAGUGUUGGAAGACAGAACUGCUUUGUGGGAUCUCUGGCGUUCUCUUUGCCCUGCUCACUGAAAACACAACCAGUUUUGAAAUCUGCCUGGUUAAAACAAAGUCUGAAGAAGGAAUAACCUGGGCUGAAAGGUUUGAUUUAUAGGGGUUCUACUCCAGGGCAUAUGGACUCUGCCAUUUUACUGCUGGACUCUGCCCUUGGGUGCAUGAGCUCCCACCCAACAGGGCUCUGAUGUGAUCCACCACACAUAGGACCAGUUCUAAUGCUUCAAGGUUCUGCCUCUCAACUCAGAUUACCAGCCUGCCGCCUACACCUCUUAUCAGUGAAGCCACAUUUUGCAGAUGGUUGUCAAGGGUAGGAGGAAGAACCCACCCACUAAACUCUGCAGGAUUGUAGCCACUAAAGGUUUUCUGCAGGAGACAAUUUUUUGCUUCCCCUUCUCCUCACAGAAUGGUUGGUGGUUCUACUGCCUCUGUCAGGGGCGGAGGAGGAGGCCCAGCCCAGCUCAGAAUGGAAAAGCUGCAGCAGGAUUGACUGUCAACAGUAAAGGAUCCUGAAGUCAAGAAAUACGCCGCAGACAGGGGCGGAGCCACCAUUGGACCAACGGAUUCAAAGAACCUGGGACGGUGACCAAUCAGGAGCUGCGAGAGCGGCCCCGACACGCCCCCCGCGUCUGACAUCAGACGCGGGGGGCGAUAGUUUAGCUCCCGAGCGGGGGCCAC
Long non-coding RNA from Hemicordylus capensis (graceful crag lizard), 808 nucleotides. RefSeq lists it as uncharacterized. NCBI's taxonomy places the organism in Eukaryota, Metazoa, Chordata, Lepidosauria, Squamata, Cordylidae. The transcript is spliced from 5 exons. The record is from RefSeq and is a predicted model, not a curated record.